Molecule: ribosomal RNA, 357 nt
Filed under: Triticum aestivum (bread wheat)
Lineage: Eukaryota; Viridiplantae; Streptophyta; Magnoliopsida; Poales; Poaceae
Description: partial small subunit ribosomal RNA
Source: RNAcentral
AUGACAAAAGAUCUUCCAGUCGAGAGUGCAACUGCUACAAUUGUGGGAGACCCGGACACUAUUCCAAUGAGUGUACGACACCCUACAAAAGAAGAGAAGAUUCUUCUAAAAGAAGAAGUAGAAGAGAAGAAUCACCACCAAGAGAGAGAAGGAGUAGAGAUGAUCGUUAUGAAUGAAGACCCUCACGGAGAAGCAAAGAUUCGGAAAGGAAGGACAAGUCAUCAAAGAGCUACACAAAACGAAGACAUCAAGCUCAUGUUGGUGAAUGGGUAUCCGGUUCCGACUCUGAACAUCACUCCGAGAGAAGCUAUCACUCCGACUCCGAACAUGCUGAAGAUUAAGGUAUUGCCGGUCUAG